RNAcentral lists this ribosomal RNA (253 nucleotides) under uncultured bacterium. RNAcentral's name for it is "partial 16S ribosomal RNA". It matches the Rfam family "Bacterial small subunit ribosomal RNA", at positions 524 to 776 of the family's 1533-position model. The record is from RNAcentral.
UACGUAGGGUGCAAGCGUUACUCGGAAUUACUGGGCGUAAAGCGUGCGCAGGCGGUUUUGCAAGACAGAUGUGAAAUCCCCGGGCUUAACCUGGGAACUGCAUUUGUGACUGCACAGCUGGAGUGCGGCAGAGGGGGAUGGAAUUCCGCGUGUAGCAGUGAAAUGCGUAGAUAUGCGGAGGAACACCGAUGGCGAAGGCAAUCCCCUGGGCCUGCACUGACGCUCAUGCACGAAAGCGUGGGGAGCAAACAGG